RNAcentral lists this ribosomal RNA (407 nucleotides) under uncultured bacterium. RNAcentral describes it as "bacterial SSU rRNA". It matches the Rfam family "Bacterial small subunit ribosomal RNA", at positions 99 to 502 of the family's 1533-position model. The record is from RNAcentral.
CGGACGGGUGAGUAAUGCCUAGGAGUCUGCCUGGUAGUGGGGGACAACGUUUCGAAAGGAACGCUAAUACCGCAUACGUCCUACGGGAGAAAGUGGGGGAUCCUCGGACCUCACGCUAUCAGAUGAGCCUAGGUACGAUUAGCUAGUUGGUGAGGUAAAGGCUCACCAAGGCGACGAUCGUUAACUGGUCUGAGAGGAUGAUCAGUCACACUGGAACUGAGACACGGUCCAGACUCCUACGGGAGGCAGCAGUGGGGAAUAUUGGACAAUGGGCGAAAGCCUGAUCCAGCCAUGCCGCGUGUGUGAAGAAGGUCUUCGGAUUGUAAAGCACUUUAAGUUGGGAGGAAGGGCAGUAAGUUAAUACCUUGCUGUUUUGACGUUACCAACAGAAUAAGCACCGGCUAACU